GUCAAGAUGGCCGAGUGGUUAAGGCGCCAGACUUAAAUUCUGGUCUUCGAGAAAGGCGUGGGUUCGAACCCCACUCUUGACA
RNAcentral lists this transfer RNA (82 nucleotides) under Daphnia pulex (common water flea). RNAcentral's name for it is "tRNA-Leu". It matches the Rfam family "tRNA". From Rfam's summary of the family: Transfer RNA (tRNA) molecules are approximately 80 nucleotides in length. The record is from RNAcentral. Lineage: Eukaryota; Metazoa; Arthropoda; Branchiopoda; Diplostraca; Daphniidae.